This is a small nucleolar RNA of Beta vulgaris subsp. vulgaris (sugar beet), 90 nucleotides long. It matches the Rfam family "Small nucleolar RNA Z107/R87". From Rfam's summary of the family: Z107 and R87 are members of the C/D class of snoRNA which contain the C (UGAUGA) and D (CUGA) box motifs. Most of the members of the box C/D family function in directing site-specific 2'-O-methylation of substrate RNA NCBI's taxonomy places the organism in Eukaryota, Viridiplantae, Streptophyta, Magnoliopsida, Caryophyllales, Amaranthaceae. The record is from Rfam.
AAUCGCAGUGAUGACUAUUAAAUUAUCAAGCUCAACAGACCGGAAAACAGGAAUUUCCUGUGUGUGUCGAUAUUUCUUUGCUGAGCGAUU